AGUGAACGCUGGCGGUAGGCCUAACACAUGCAAGUCGAACGGCAGCACAGUAAGAGCUUGCUCUUACGGGUGGCGAGUGGCGGACGGGUGAGGAAUACAUCGGAAUCUACUUUUUCGUGGGGGAUAACGUAGGGAAACUUACGCUAAUACCGCAUACGACCUACGGGUGAAAGCAGGGGAUCUUCGGACCUUGCGCGAUUGAAUGAGCCGAUGUCGGAUUAGCUAGUUGGCGGGGUAAAGGCCCACCAAGGCGACGAUCCGUAGCUGGUCUGAGAGGAUGAUCAGCCACACUGGAACUGAGACACGGUCCAGACUCCUACGAGAGGCAGCAGUGGGGAAUAGUGGACAAUGGGCGCAAGCCUGAUCCAGCCAUACCGCGUGGGUGAAGAAGGCCUUCGGGUUGUAAAGCCCUUUUGUUGGGAAAGAAAAGCAUCAGGUUAAUACCCCGCUGUUCUGACGGUACCCAAUGAAUAAGCACCGGCUAACUUCGUG
This 492-nucleotide ribosomal RNA is filed under the name uncultured bacterium. RNAcentral describes it as "partial 16S ribosomal RNA". It matches the Rfam family "Bacterial small subunit ribosomal RNA", at positions 29 to 507 of the family's 1533-position model. The record is from RNAcentral.